AUAUUUUAGUCACUCCAUAAACACAUAUUGGUUAGUGUUAGUCAUACUAUUUACGUGUUGUGUUUUCCACAAUAACUUGAUUAAUUAGGUUCCAUCCUCAGCUUUAACGUCUUCUUCCAAAGGUUCUCAUCGAUUAGUACCGUCAACCUGUACAUAUUAUACUAUUUUGUUUACUAUUUUGUUCCCUCAUUGGCUACUAUUUUGUUCUUAUUUUUUGCAUAGGUGAAAUGUGAAGCCAAGCGUGAAGUCAUGAAGCCUAUAUGCAAAGAGUAGCAUAUCAUGUAUUGUGAUAGUAGGCUGUAGUAGGCAUAUUUGAGUUCUAGUAGUGUAAAGAUUGUAAUAGACUAAUUUAGUGUUUUUUGACGAAUUUCAUUUGUUCUGUGAUCUUUUCAAAAUAUUGAUUUCGUAUGUGAUUUGUAUACCUAUGAAAUGGAAACCUCACAA
This 444-nucleotide long non-coding RNA is filed under the name Hordeum vulgare. Its description in RNAcentral is "long non-coding RNA (HVUL_LNC018690)". Lineage: Eukaryota; Viridiplantae; Streptophyta; Magnoliopsida; Poales; Poaceae. The record is from RNAcentral.